RNAcentral lists this unclassified non-coding RNA (90 nucleotides) under Pseudomonas migulae. The record is from RNAcentral. Lineage: Bacteria; Pseudomonadati; Pseudomonadota; Gammaproteobacteria; Pseudomonadales; Pseudomonadaceae.
UGUGGGAGCGGGCUUGCUCGCGAAGGCAGUGUGUCAGUUAACGUUGAUGUCGACUGAUAUACCGCCUUCGCGAGCAAGCCCGCUCCCACA